RNAcentral lists this ribosomal RNA (354 nucleotides) under uncultured Marinobacter sp. Its description in RNAcentral is "bacterial SSU rRNA". It matches the Rfam family "Bacterial small subunit ribosomal RNA", at positions 923 to 1277 of the family's 1533-position model. The record is from RNAcentral. Lineage: Bacteria; Pseudomonadati; Pseudomonadota; Gammaproteobacteria; Pseudomonadales; Marinobacteraceae.
GCACAAGCGGUGGAGCAUGUGGUUUAAUUCGACGCAACGCGAAGAACCUUACCUGGCCUUGACAUGUUGGGAACUUUCCAGAGAUGGAUUGGUGCCUUCGGGAACCCAAACACAGGUGCUGCAUGGCCGUCGUCAGCUCGUGUCGUGAGAUGUUGGGUUAAGUCCCGUAACGAGCGCAACCCCUAUCCCUAGUUGCUAGCAGUUCGGCUGAGAACUCUAGGGAGACUGCCGGUGACAAACCGGAGGAAGGUGGGGAUGACGUCAGGUCAUCAUGGCCCUUACGGCCAGGGCUACACACGUGCUACAAUGGCGCGCACAGAGGGCUGCAAACCCGCGAGGGGGAGCCAAUCUCAC